GGUAUGUUUAGUCUUUUUUAGUAGCCACUUAGUCACAAACACUGGCCAAAGUUAGCGUUCAUAUUUGUUUUUGUGUGAAAAAAGCAAAAAACUAAUAGUUGCCCAAUGUUUGUGACUAAGUGGCUACUAAGAUUGACUGGACAUAUU
Pelobates cultripes (western spadefoot toad) is the source of this 147-nucleotide non-coding RNA. Lineage: Eukaryota; Metazoa; Chordata; Amphibia; Anura; Pelobatidae. The record is from the annotation of a GenBank genome assembly.